Molecule: ribosomal RNA, 484 nt
Filed under: uncultured eubacterium WJGRT-116
Lineage: Bacteria
Description: bacterial SSU rRNA
Rfam family: Bacterial small subunit ribosomal RNA
Source: RNAcentral
GCGUGCUAACACAUGCAAGUCGAACGUGAAUGGGAGCAAUCCCUAGUAAAGUGGCGUACGGGUGAGUAACGCGUAGGUAAUCUACCCCAGAGUCUGGAAUAACCUGACGAAAGGCGGGCUAAUACUGGAUAGAGCGACGAAAUCCGUAAUCGGGUUUUUCGGGAAAGGGAGGAAGCAAUUCCCUUUGCUCUGGGAUGAGCCUGCGUCUCAUUAGCUAGUUGGUGAGGUAAUGGCUCACCAAGGCUUUGAUGGGUAGCUGGUCUGAGAGGAUGAUCAGCCACACUGGAACUGAAACACGGUCCAGACUCCUACGGGAGGCAGCAGUGGGGAAUCUUGCGCAAUGGACGAAAGUCUGACGCAGCCACGCCGCGUGAGUGAAGAAGGCCUUCGGGUUGUAAAGCUCUGUCGAGCGAGACGAAAAACAUAUAGGUGAAUAGCCUAUGUGUCUGACGGUACCGCUAAAGGAAGCACCGGCUAACUCCGU